UACGGGGGGAGCAAGCGUUGUUCGGAUUCAUUGGGCGUAAAGGGUGCGUAGGCGGCGCGGUAAGUCGGGUGUGAAAUCUCGGAGCUUAACUCCGAAACUGCAUUCGAUACUGCCGUGCUUGAGGACUGGAGAGGAGACUGGAAUUUACGGUGUAGCGGUGAAAUGCGUAGAUAUCGUAAGGAAGACCAGUGGCGAAGGCGGGUCUCUGGGACGGUACUGACGCUGAGACGCGAAAGCGUGGGGAGCGAACAGG
RNAcentral lists this ribosomal RNA (253 nucleotides) under uncultured bacterium. RNAcentral's name for it is "partial 16S ribosomal RNA". It matches the Rfam family "Bacterial small subunit ribosomal RNA", at positions 524 to 776 of the family's 1533-position model. The record is from RNAcentral.